RNAcentral lists this ribosomal RNA (639 nucleotides) under Triticum aestivum (bread wheat). RNAcentral's name for it is "partial small subunit ribosomal RNA". The record is from RNAcentral. Lineage: Eukaryota; Viridiplantae; Streptophyta; Magnoliopsida; Poales; Poaceae.
AUGGCAGCAGCAAUUCCCAGCGCCACCCGGACCAGCCCAGACGACUGCUACUGCACCGAGCCCGGCUGUGGCUUCCAGGCCCCGCCGCGGGCGCUCCUCGACCACCUCGUCGCCGUGCACUCCCUGCGCGCGGCCAGAAUCUCCUACGGCGACCAGUACGAGCUCGUCGUGCCGGCGUCGGAGCGCCGGAUCCUCCUGCUCGCGGAGAAGGACGAGCGCGUGUUCCUCCUGGCCGUAGGCGACGCCCACGGCUGGGGCCCGUCCGUCAGCUCCGCCGACGGCGACGAGAACCGCGCGUUCAAGGCGAUCUCCGUGCUGUGCCUCAGGGCGAACGCGGCCGCGGAGGCGGGGCCGCAGUACGUGACCGAGCUCUCCACCGCAGGUGAGACGAUGUCGACGGAGUCAGCCGUGUGGAGCUCGCCGGGGCCGUGCGAGGCCCCCCUGAAGUCCAUUCUGCCGGCGACCCUGCACGGGGCGUCCAAGGACGUGCAUCUCCGCGUACGCAUCAGCGUCGCGAAAAAGUCGCGGUUCUGGAAAAAGUUUCGUCACUCUUGCAAGUUCGGAUUCCUCGGAAGACUUUGUUGUUGUGUCAAGGUAUAUCGGACGGGUAACUCGGUGACAUAUGUCAGUUGCAUCUGA